RNAcentral lists this ribosomal RNA (464 nucleotides) under uncultured bacterium. RNAcentral's name for it is "partial 16S ribosomal RNA". It matches the Rfam family "Bacterial small subunit ribosomal RNA", at positions 28 to 507 of the family's 1533-position model. The record is from RNAcentral.
GACGAACGCUGGCGGCGUGCUUAACACAUGCAAGUCGAACGGAAAGGCCCUGCUUGCAGGGUACUCGAGUGGCGAACGGGUGAGUAACACUUGGGUGAUCUGCCCUGCACUUCGGGAUAAGCCUGGGAAACUGGGUCUAAUACCGGAUAGGAGCCAUUUUUAGUGUGAUGGUUGGAAAGUUUGUUCGGUGUAGGAUGAGCUCGCGGCCUAUCAGCUUGUUGGUGGGGUAAUGGCCUAACAAGGCGGCGACGGGUAGCCGGCCUGAGAGGGUGGACGGCCACAUGGGGACUGAGAUACGGCCCAGACUCCUACGGGAGGCAGCAGUGGGGAAUAUUGCACAAUGGGCGCGAGCCUGAUGCAGCGACGCCGCGUGGGGGAUGACGGCCUUCGGGUUGUAAACUCCUUUCGCUAGGGACGAAGCUUUUGUGACGGUACCUAGAGAAGAAGCACCGGCUAACUACGUG